This 564-nucleotide ribosomal RNA is filed under the name uncultured bacterium. RNAcentral's name for it is "bacterial SSU rRNA". It matches the Rfam family "Bacterial small subunit ribosomal RNA", at positions 337 to 916 of the family's 1533-position model. The record is from RNAcentral.
UCCUACGGGAGGCAGCAGCAAGGAAUAUUGGGCAAUGGGCGAAAGCCUGACCCAGCGACACCGCGUGGAGGAAGAAGGCCUUCGGGUUGUAAACUCCUUUUCCCGGGGAAGAAUAAUGACGGUACCCGGGGAAUAAGCCUCGGCUAACUACGUGCCAGCAGCCGCGGUAAUACGUAGGAGGCAAGCGUUAUCCGGAUUUACUGGGCGUAAAGGGGGCGUAGGCGGCCUGUCAAGUCGGAUGUGAAAUCUCCAGGCUAAACUGGGAGGGUGCAUUCGAUACUGAUGGGCUAGAGUGCAGCAGAGGAAAGCGGAAUUCCCGGUGUAGUGGUGGAAUGCGUAGAUAUCGGGAAGAACACUAGUGGCGAAGGCGGCUUUCUGGGCUGUUACUGACGCUGAGGCCCGAAGGCGUGGGGAGCAAACAGGAUUAGAUACCCUGGUAGUCCACGCAGUAAACGAUGGAUACUAGGUAUAGGGAGUAUCGACCCUCUCUGUGCCGAAGCUAACGCUUUAAGUAUCCCGCCUGGGGACUACGGUCGCAAGACUAAAACUCAAAUGAAUUGACGG